Molecule: ribosomal RNA, 1175 nt
Filed under: human gut metagenome
Description: bacterial SSU rRNA
Rfam family: Bacterial small subunit ribosomal RNA
Source: RNAcentral
AGAGUUUGAUCCUGGCUCAGGACGAACGCUGGCGGCGCGCCUAACACAUGCAAGUCGAACGAGCGAGAGAGAGCUUGCUUUCUCGAGCGAGUGGCGAACGGGUGAGUAACGCGUGAGGAACCUGCCUCAAAGAGGGGGACAACAGUUGGAAACGACUGCUAAUACCGCAUAAGCCCACGGCUCGGCAUCGAGCAGAGGGAAAAGGAGCAAUCCGCUUUGAGAUGGCCUCGCGUCCGAUUAGCUAGUUGGUGAGGUAACGGCCCACCAAGGCGACGAUCGGUAGCCGGACUGAGAGGUUGAACGGCCACAUUGGGACUGAGACACGGCCCAGACUCCUACGGGAGGCAGCAGUGGGGAAUAUUGCACAAUGGGGGAAACCCUGAUGCAGCGACGCCGCGUGGAGGAAGAAGGUCUUCGGAUUGUAAACUCCUGUUGUUGAGGAAGAUAAUGACGGUACUCAACAAGGAAGUGACGGCUAACUACGUGCCAGCAGCCGCGGUAAAACGUAGGUCACAAGCGUUGUCCGGAAUUACUGGGUGUAAAGGGAGCGCAGGCGGGAAGACAAGUUGGAAGUGAAAUCCAUGGGCUCAACCCAUGAACUGCUUUCAAAACUGUUUUUCUUGAGUAGUGCAGAGGUAGGCGGAAUUCCCGGUGUAGCGGUGGAAUGCGUAGAUAUCGGGAGGAACACCAGUGGCGAAGGCGGCCUACUGGGCACCAACUGACGCUGAGGCUCGAAAGUGUGGGUAGCAAACAGGAUUAGAUACCCUGGUAGUCCACACCGUAAACGAUGAUUACUAGGUGUUGGAGGAUUGACCCCUUCAGUGCCGCAGUUAACACAAUAAGUAAUCCACCUGGGGAGUACGACCGCAAGGUUGAAACUCAAAGGAAUUGACGGGGGCCCGCACAAGCAGUGGAGUAUGUGGUUUAAUUCGACGCAACGCGAAGAACCUUACCAAGUCUUGACAUCCUGCGACGCACAUAGAAAUAUGUGUUUCCUUCGGGACGCAGAGACAGGUGGUGCAUGGUUGUCGUCAGCUCGUGUCGUGAGAUGUUGGGUUAAGUCCCGCAACGAGCGCAACCCUUAUGGUCAGUUACUACGCAAGAGGACUCUGGCCAGACUGCCGUUGACAAAACGGAGGAAGGUGGGGAUGACGUCAAAUCAUCAUGCCCUUUAU